UUUUCCAAUUAACUUAACCGAGUUAACAAUAUCCAUAAAUUUGCCUAGCCUACAGACUCCGAAUAUAUAGUCUACUCAAUGUGUUAUUUUCAAAUAAGGAAUAGUAUAAUAGGAAUAGUACCUGUAUCAAAACUGAGAAUAAUAUAUUAUAAUUAUAACUGCAGUAAUAUUUAGCCGACUCCCUAAGGUUUCCCAAGAGGAUUAUUAUUGUGAUAAUAAUUUAUAAAUUGAAAAUCUACCGAGUUUCGUACAAUCAUACGAAUUUAUAUAUGGUA
This is a non-coding RNA of Cinara cedri, 275 nucleotides long. Lineage: Eukaryota; Metazoa; Arthropoda; Insecta; Hemiptera; Aphididae. The record is from the annotation of a GenBank genome assembly.